This 578-nucleotide long non-coding RNA is filed under the name Gallus gallus (chicken). Its description in RNAcentral is "long non-coding RNA NONGGAT003977". The record is from RNAcentral. Lineage: Eukaryota; Metazoa; Chordata; Aves; Galliformes; Phasianidae.
GAGCGCCUUAGCUUUUUGGAUGGCCCUGCUUUCUCUGGCCCGGAUCCAAUACACCACUUAGACAUCUGCUUAACUUUAAGCAUAUGACAUCCGGGACACAAAGUGAGUGUAGUGCAUCACUGUGUGAAAACCAGAAAGUUUUGAAGAAAUAGCCGAUAGUCUCUUCUUAAUUCCUUCUACUGCCAGCCCUCGAAGCAAAACCCGUUGUCUUUGGGUGUGCUCCUGCUGCUGUGCGUUUGCAGAGGGAAAAUGUGCAGGGGUCAGCAGUUUCAGAGGCAGGCUCUAAUUUUAGGUUCUCAGCUUUAGAUAUUUUGGGACGGAACUUGGGACACAGCAAAAGAAGUGUUGAGGAGCCAUAAAUCUGGAUGAAGUAAGCAACACCCAGCACCUCGCGAGCCGAAGACCUAAAACCAGAGACGCUUCUAUUUAGAAGGGGAAAAAAAAAAAAAAGUCCUAGCAUUUGCCAGAUGCUGUUUUUCUUAGUUCUUGAGGUUUCUAUCCUUCGCCACACUUCCCGCUAUUCCUAUUUUCGUAUCGCCGUCACUCACAGCACUGACAUUCACCAACCAAUCCAUGGC